GCGUAACGCGUGGGAACCCGCCUUUAGGUUCGGAAUAACUCAGAGAAAUUUGAGCUAAUACCGGAUAAUGUCUUCGGACCAAAGAUUUAUCGCCUUUAGAUGGGCCCGCGUUAGAUUAAAUAGUUGGUGGGGUAAUGGCCUACCAAGUCGACGAUCUAUAGCUGGUCUGAGAGGAUGAUCAGCCACACUGGGACUGAGACACGGCCCAGACUCCUACGGGAGGCAGCAGUGGGGAAUAUUGGACAAUGGGCGAAAGCCUGAUCCAGCAAUGCCGCGUGAGUGAUGAAGGCCUUAGGGUUGUAAAGCUCUUUUACUAGGGAUGAUAAUGACAGUACCUAGAGAAUAAGCUCCGGCUAACUCCGUGCCAGCAGCCGCGGUAAUACGGAGGGAGCUAGCGUUGUUCGGAAUUACUGGGCGUAAAGAGAACGUAGGCGGCUAUCCAAGUCAGGGGUGAAAUCCCGGGGCUCAACCCCGGAACUGCCCUUGAAACUAGGUAGCUAGAAUUCUGGAGAGGUUAGUGGAAUUCCGAGUGUAGAGGUGAAAUUCGUAGAUAUUCGGAAGAACACCAGUGGCGAAGGCGACUGACUGGACAGAUAUUGACGCUGAGGUUCGAAAGCGUGGGGAGCAAACAGGAUUAGAUACCCCGGUAGUCCACGCCGUAAACGAUGAUAACUAGCUGUUCGGGCUCGUAGAGCUUGAGUGGCGCAGCUAACGCAUUAAGUUAUCCGCCUGGGGAGUACGGUCGCAAGAUUAAAACUC
This 759-nucleotide ribosomal RNA is filed under the name uncultured bacterium. RNAcentral describes it as "bacterial SSU rRNA". It matches the Rfam family "Bacterial small subunit ribosomal RNA", at positions 108 to 902 of the family's 1533-position model. The record is from RNAcentral.